This 46-nucleotide non-coding RNA is filed under the name Schistosoma mattheei. Lineage: Eukaryota; Metazoa; Platyhelminthes; Trematoda; Strigeidida; Schistosomatidae. The record is from RNAcentral.
GGACUACUGAGGAGUCCCAUACUAGGACGAAACGGCCGUUCAGUAC